UUGAACGCUGGCGGCAUGCCUUACCCAUGCCAGUCGAACGGUAACAGGUUAAGCUGACGAGUGGCGAACGGGUGAGUAAUGUAUCGGAACGUGCCCAGUCGUGGGGGAUAACUGCUCGAAAGAGCAGCUAAUACCGCAUACGACCUGAGGGUGAAAGCGGGGGAUCGCAAGACCUCGCGCGAUUGGAGCGGCCGAUAUCAGAUUAGGUAGUUGGUGAGGUAAAGGCUCACCAAGCCGACGAUCUGUAGCUGGUCUGAGAGGACGACCAGCCACACUGGGACUGAGACACGGCCCAGACUCCUACGGGAGGCAGCAGUGGGGAAUUUUGGACAAUGGGCGCAAGCCUGAUCCAGCCAUGCCGCGUGCGGGAAGAAGGCCUUCGGGUUGUAAACCGCUUUUGUCAGGGAAGAAAAGGUUCUGGCUAAUACCUGGGACUCAUGACGGUACCUGAAGAAUAAGCACCGGCUAACUACGUG
This 476-nucleotide ribosomal RNA is filed under the name uncultured bacterium. Its description in RNAcentral is "partial 16S ribosomal RNA". It matches the Rfam family "Bacterial small subunit ribosomal RNA", at positions 30 to 507 of the family's 1533-position model. The record is from RNAcentral.